UGUAAUGAUUAUUGCAGAUAUGAUUGCAUAAUCAAAGAACAUCUAAGGGACUGAGUUGUCAACCUCGCAAGCUGUUUUAAGACGCAGGAGGUUUUUUUUUAUCUCAUAUAGUUUUUUUCCCCCUUGAAAUGUUUGAUAAAUUAAAUUUAUUUACAGUGAUGUCAAGUUCCAAAAUAAUGACUUUUCUUGUAUUCCAAAACAACGGACAGCGAUGAUGAGCCUACAGACCUGUAAUGAUCAUUGCUGAUAUGAUUGCAUAAUCAAAGAACAUCUAAGGGACUGAGUUGUCAACCUCACAGGCUGUUUUAAGAUGCAGGAGGCUUUUAUAUCUAAUCUAGGAUUUUUUUUCUUGAAAUGUUUGCAUAAUACAAUGAUGUCAGCUUCCAAAAUACUGACAUAUGUAUUUGAAAAUAAUGGACAAUGAUGUAAUGAUUAUUACAGAUAUGAUUGCAUAGUCAAAGAACAUCAAGGGACUGAGUUGUCAACGUACAGGCUGUUAAAAUGCAAUGAGUUUUCUUUAUAUCUCAUCUAUUGUUUUUUUGCUUCAUAUGGUUGUGUAAUGAAAUUGAUCUAUGAUAAUGCCAGGUUCCAAAAGAAUGGCUUUUCCUGUAUUUCAAAUUAAUAGACAACAAUGAUGAGCCUACGGACUUGUAAUGAUUAUUGAAGAUAUGAUUGCAUAAUCAAAGAACAUCUAAUGGACUACGUUGUCAACCUUGCAAGUUGUUUUAAGAUGCAGGAGGUCUUUAUGUUUCAUCUAGUGGUUUUUUGAAAUGUUUGUGUAAAUUAAAUUUAUCUAAAUGAUGUUAGAUUUUAAAAUAAAUAAUGGACAACGAUGAUGAGCCUACUAGACCUGUAAUGAUUAUUGCAGAUAUGAUUGCAUAAUCAAAGAGCAUCUAAGGGACUGAGUUGUUAACCUUGCAAACUGUUUUAAGAUGCAUGAGGUUUUUAUUUCUUUCUCACCUAGUACUUUCUUUUAUCUUGAAAUGUUUGCACAAAUAAAUUUAUCUACACUGAUGUCAGGUGCUAAAACAAUGGAUUUUCAUGUAUUCUUUUAACAUUUUGC
Molecule: long non-coding RNA, 1063 nt
Filed under: Musa acuminata (dwarf banana)
Lineage: Eukaryota; Viridiplantae; Streptophyta; Magnoliopsida; Zingiberales; Musaceae
Description: long non-coding RNA (MACU_LNC001671)
Rfam family: Small nucleolar RNA SNORD25 (bases 205-289)
Source: RNAcentral